CUCUACAAUAGGCUGCCGUGCGUAAAUGCAAACUUCAACACCUUGCAGCGCAAUCAAGUGAACAUUUGUUUCCAUCCAGCACUCUGGUGCGCAGAUCCAACUUGCGUGCCAAAGUCGCGUUUACUGUUAACUUCAACGUGAGCUUGGACAGGGACAUGCAAAAAGGUUCCCCAGCGCUACAAAUGCAUCCAAACAUCCAUAUGCAAAUCAACACGGUGCUGACGUCAACGCAGCCAGCCAGCCAGACGAGCAGCAGGCAGGCGGGUUGCCGGCGCUGCGCUCUAACCCAUACAAACACUGAGAAAGCGAGACACCUAGGGGGCAGUCUCAUGUCAAACGGCUGUGGUAGAGUACAGUAAGACAGUGAAAGCAAAUACUGCUGUCACUUCUGGUGUGUACAACCAUGUGCAACAGCAUGAAUGCCACAAAGAGACGCUGUUUGAUUUUUCACGCUGAGACUUCAAAGAAUUACAAAAGUCACAGAGUUCCAGUGGAGAAAUUGGCGAGGCAGCGGGAUCCAGCCAGAGAGAUACUAUGACAGUGGGCUUUCUGACCCAUCUUUGAGAGUAGUCAUGGUAGACAACAUGACUCAAGAGCUAGUUUGUCAUGUGUGAAUAAUGUAUGUUAUACUCUUUAACAUCCUAUCUGCCACUGCUGCAAUGACCUACUGUCCCCCACUGAUAUCAGUAAAGCUCCAUUAAAUCUAGUCCAAUCGCCAAAAUAAAUUGCAUUGUGACAAACUGAAAAAUGAUUCAAAGCUCAGUUAAUUUAGUGGGCAACAUAAUCCAUUCUGAUUAGGAAAUGUUUUAAUGUUGGUCUAGAUUUAGUUUCUAAGCAGUUUUCAAUGUCAUAUC
Molecule: long non-coding RNA, 854 nt
Organism: Monopterus albus (swamp eel)
Lineage: Eukaryota; Metazoa; Chordata; Actinopteri; Synbranchiformes; Synbranchidae
Exons: 3
Source: RefSeq, a predicted model, not a curated record